UACGGGGGGGGCAAGCGUUGUUCGGAAUUACUGGGCGUAAAGCGUACGUAGGCGGCUUUGUAAGUUAGAGGUGAAAGCCUGGAGCUCAACUCCAGAACUGCCUUUAAGACUGCAUCGCUUGAAUCCAGGAGAGGUGAGUGGAAUUCCGAGUGUAGAGGUGAAAUUCGUAGAUAUUCGGAAGAACACCAGUGGCGAAGGCGGCUCACUGGACUGGUAUUGACGCUGAGGUACGAAAGCGUGGGGAGCAAACAGG
Molecule: ribosomal RNA, 253 nt
Filed under: uncultured bacterium
Lineage: Bacteria
Description: partial 16S ribosomal RNA
Rfam family: Bacterial small subunit ribosomal RNA
Source: RNAcentral